Molecule: long non-coding RNA, 1393 nt
Organism: Stegodyphus dumicola
Lineage: Eukaryota; Metazoa; Arthropoda; Arachnida; Araneae; Eresidae
Source: RefSeq, a predicted model, not a curated record
UGACUAGUCUUGCAAAAUUUACAAAUAUUAUGCUGAUUCUUGUUGUUUGACUUCUCCAAUAAUCCUUAUCUUAUCACCAUACUUAUCUUGUUCAUUUGCACUUAGGCAGCUGAGGAAAAUGGUUCUAUAGUUAAAUCAUCAAAACUAGUCUUGUAAAAUUUACAAAUAUUAUGCUGAUUCUUGUUGUUUGACUUCUCCAAUAAUCAUUAUUCAACGUGCCAUUUUAACCUAAAUUACAGUAGUCUUGUCCGAACAAGAAGGUAGGCACAUAGCAAUGACAGAUUGCUCAGCAACAUCAUGAUGGUAGCACAAGAAUUAUUAUUAAACAACUUGUGUAAAGGAAUCUUUGCAAGGCACUCAUUGAUAGGAUUAUCAGCAACUACAGGCAUAUGCGGCUUGUAUGUUGAAUGCAAGAUACAGACAAAUGUAUAAUAUCUUUUCAAACCAAUCUCAUUUCUGCCUACAGCACUGCAGUGAUUGCAUCCAAGCCUAGCAGAUACCAAUGACAGAUCUCAUACUAUUGGAUUAUGCAUCACCAUACAAAUCUGCCAUCUAAAAUUAUGAUUUGGGGUGCCACUGAAUUUUACUCCUGCACCUCCCUAAUAUGUAUUGCUGACAUACUUAAUAGCUACCACUACACAUCUGAAGUUUGAUUUUGUGCUCCUGUCUUACUUUCAAGAUCUGCCAGUGGCCCCGUUUCAGCAGUUAAAUACAUGACAGGCAAUAUUUAAUAAUACUUUACUUGCUAACUAGGUCCCAUUAUUGCUUUGACCCACAUAUUUUCCUGACAUGUCAUCCAUCAAAUAUGUCUUGGUUGAUGGCUGGCGAAUAAGUGUCCCAGCAUUACAGCACCUGCAUCUGGUGAACUUUGACAGCAUAGACUAACAUACUCCAAGCUCAAGCGUAAAGACGCUUUCUUUAAAUGUAAAGGCUAUAUAAAAUGCUCUUUUCUUCAUGAUCUAUAAGUCAAAUGAUCAGUUUACUCUCGUUUUUUGUUCUUCAUGAUGCAGCAUUUUAGAUGCUUCUGCUACUGCUAAAAUAUCGCCGCUGCUCUGCUUUUCAACCUAAAAGCAUGUCGCUCCCAAUAACCUGUGCAUAUGAGAAAUUAUUGUAAUUGUUCAUGAUCGAAAAGUAUAUUGUCUACCAAGAAUGAUUCUAAUGUGCCUAGAAAUAAAGAUAGUAAUUAGCUGAAUUUGGAUUGUGUCAACAUCUUCUUCCAUCUUUCCACUAAACUAUCGAAAGCUGCUAAAGUGUUAACUGCACACCAAAAUACCUAUCCUCGGUUAUGACGACCGCAAGCUGAUUCCUCUUGUAUGCUUUGAAAUUAUGAUAUAUAUAUAUAUAUAUAUCAUUAUCAUGAAAUGAAAUUUAAUAAAUGCCUUUCUAUAUUUAA